UUAAAAACUGAACGUCACGAUAAAUCAAGAUAAGCAAGCUUUUAAGAUUUAACACUACACUAAACCGCACGGAGUUUAAACUAAUGAAUCACAUUCGAGGGCUCUAUCAUAUUGGAAUGGAAGUAUAUGAAACGCCGAAACGCAUCACACAGACACACACCGCUACUUGCACAGAUGCCAGCUGGUCUACUCUAACGCAUCACUGGCUAAUCCAAUAAGUGUUGCCAAUUCCCAUGAGCGUCUCUGUCUUUGCUCAGACACGGUUCGAAGAGGCUUCGCAGCUCUGAAUCUUACUUACCGAGGCCCCGGGCAGCAACAUCGGUGGCCACCAGGAUCGGAGCUCUACCACUGCGGAACUCCUGCAACACGUGGUCCCUUUCUUGCUGUUCCGAUCUCUUGAAGCAGUCUGAACAGCUUGACAUCCUUCUCAAAUUCCUGGCAGACGUCGACGAUUUGAACGAUGUUGUGGUUGGCAGAGAGAGUCAAGGAGCCGAUGUUAAGGAAAUCUAUCAGUCUGCCUGGAGUGGCGAUGCAUAUUUCCACUCCUCGUUCCAAGUCUUGAGCCUGGGGUCCCUUCGGAGCUCCUCCAAAGAUACAGGUGUUCCUGACGGAAGCUUGUUCGCCGAAACAAUUGGCCA
Molecule: long non-coding RNA, 638 nt
Filed under: Orussus abietinus
Lineage: Eukaryota; Metazoa; Arthropoda; Insecta; Hymenoptera; Orussidae
Description: uncharacterized LOC105695057, transcript variant X2
Source: RNAcentral